Long non-coding RNA from Epinephelus moara (kelp grouper), 1921 nucleotides. RefSeq lists it as uncharacterized. Lineage: Eukaryota; Metazoa; Chordata; Actinopteri; Perciformes; Serranidae. The transcript has 3 exons. The record is from RefSeq and is a predicted model, not a curated record.
AGUUGAUGUAGUUUGCAGCAGAGGUGAGCUGGUGAUACCGGCUAACAGCGCCUUGGAGAGGAGUUCAGUGAUGCAAUCGAUCAGAGAGGACGUCUUCUGUAUGCAUGGAGACGUGGAGGCUGCCUUGCUCCCUCAGGACAGAAACAAAACCCUGAUGAACAGGGGACAGUUUAAUGGGACGGAGACAGACAGCUCUGCAGCUGGCAGGGAUUAAAGAUGGGAUACAGUGUGCACAGUAUAAGAGUAAUAAUCAUUAGUGCUGUUAUCAUAUAAAGUGAGUGUGUGAAGACAAUGACACUGAGGAUGAAAACACAGACACAAUCGCUCUGUGCACUGAGUAAAGACAAACAGACACAAUCACCAGACAGCCUGCAGGAAAAGAAAACAUUGAUUGAUGGAUUUUCUGUGAGAUCUACACUCCAACAACACUCUAGGUGUAGUGUCAAGGAGGAUCCUCAAACAGCCGAAUUUGAAGGACGUUAUGCCAUCCACCUCCGCCGAAGGAAGGAUCUUUGAACAGCUGACUGUCAGUGAGGCAUCGAGUUCUGCCAAAGGAUUGUUCCAGUGUCAAGGACCCUUCGAAUCCUCCCAAGGACCAAGUCCUUCCUUCAGAGAACUUUCAAGGAUGCAUGUCUGUAUGCUCAGCGGACAUGAAGUAUCCAUGUUAACCCAUGAGGUGUCAUUGAGGGCGGGGCCUCUCCAAUGACUCACCGGGACACUCGUUCACCUGUUCCAGUGUGUGUUCACUGAAUGUUAGGAAGGAGUCUUGCCGAGCCUCAGUAGGACCCUACCUGAAAGGACCCCUCCUACCAAGGAGGCAUCCUGGACUUUAAGAAGCACUGAGUGUCGGCUGCAGUGAGUUCAAACGUCUGUUUUCAUUGGUACGUUACACCUCCUGCUCUGCCCUCGGGUUAUAUCUCCAACCCUGUUUUUUAUUACAUUUAAUCUCACAGUUGAAGUGAACCUGAACAAACUUGAGGACUGUUGAUUUAUUGAACAUCUUUAUAUCUUAUAGCUCUGAAAUGAUGUGACCUUAGAUGGAUCAGUUAUGUUCGUAUAUAACUGAGAGUUAGAAAUGUUGAACUGAAACACAAAUUUAAAAAUACAACAGUAAAACAUUUAUGUUGAACAUAACUUUCCCAUUAAACAUGUUUCAUUAGUUUUCACACCAACUCAAGCAUGAUUAAGUUUAUAAUGGUGAUGUUUCAUCAGCUGACAACACUUGGUAAAGUUUAGGGACAGUUGUUGUUGAGUCAUGAUGUAAUAAUGUUGAUUCGUCAGAUGGGACAUGAACCUGUUGCCUUUAGUGUUUAAUCUGUCACCUGACGCUAACCCUAACUGACCUCCACUCUACAACUGUGGGCUGCAGAAUGAACGUUUCCUGACUAACAGUAAGCUUCAGCCAAAUCAGACGUUUUAAAAUGGGUGUUAUUAUUCAUAGGAGACAAAGUUGAUGUUAUCACUGUUACUGUAACUGUACCAAUAGUUAGAGUAACCAUGACCUCCUCAAUCUGUCGCUGUCAGUGUCCUGAUGACUGAACUGAGACUAACAGACUUAUUUAUGUUGUCUGUAUCAGUUUGUGUUUGUCUUCACUUGGUCAGUUUAAUAUUAUUGUUUCUGCCUCGUCACCUUAUUCCCCUCACCUGAGCUCCUGCAGCACCUGCACUCCAUCUCCUCAUCAGACCGGUCUGUAUUUAAGACCUGAGGCCUCAGCACUACGAAGCCAGUUCAAGUUACCCAGGAUAUCUUCUCGAUGAUUAUGAAACUUGUCUGAAUAUGUCACAUAAACACUUUAGAGUAACACCAGACUGUUUCUGCUGCUGAAGCAAAGAGUGGGGAAGUAGUUAAUGACUGAUGAGGUCUGUCUGACUGACAUGUGACAUUUAUAAUAACAGGAGCUGAUUAACAGUGUGUGGAUUA